This is a long non-coding RNA of Andrographis paniculata, 242 nucleotides long. RefSeq lists it as uncharacterized. The transcript is spliced from 4 exons. Lineage: Eukaryota; Viridiplantae; Streptophyta; Magnoliopsida; Lamiales; Acanthaceae. The record is from RefSeq and is a predicted model, not a curated record.
GACUCGCCAAUAAGAGUUGCCUAUUUUGACUCUCACCUGACAAUCCGGCGGGAGAGGGAGAAAGAGAAAUUGAUCGGCGAUUUUGGUUCGAGAAAGGGGAAGUUGAACACUCAUGAGUAAAAGGAAUCUCACUCUUAUGGAAGAAGAUUGUUAGAAGAACUGCAAGACUUAUCUUUCCCCAUGCUUUCUAGUUUGGUCUAUUUCCUAUGUCUAGUUUAACUAAUUGUAUUUGGCUAUGACAA